UAUCAAUUAUAUAAAUAUAAAAUUAUGUUUUAUAUCUAUUAUGAUAUAUACACACAAAUAAUAAAAUGAGAAUACUUACAUCUUCGUUUGAUGAGCCUUCAUCAGUUACAAUGGUGUAUGAAGACAUUGUAUUUGCCUUUAAUAAAAAUUUUCUUGUAGCGGUUAUGUAAGGGUGUGAAGCGACGACGCAGCAAGUUCAAUAGAAAAUGUUGAGAUUUAACACUGACUAUAAUCAAUGUAUGCUGAAUGAUUAUAUAGAAUCUAAUAAGGUUGUAUGAGUGUGUAAAGUAAUCAUGUAUUAUUGUCAGAUAAUUAGAUAUAAAUAAAAUAAAUGUAUUGCACUCAUUUUUGUUUCAGGCUUUCCACAUUAAAUUGAACAUAGAGAUCAUUUGGUUAAAACACUGCUAAUUUAUAAUUUUAAAUAACUUUAACAUAUAUAUAUAUUAUGUAUAACGAUAAAAAUAAUGUCAGUUUGCAGUUUAUAAUCAGUCUAAUAUUAUGAUGUGAUGUAAUAUCGCAUGAUUAUUUUAUUUUCAGGUAAACUGGUCUGAUUAGUUAGAUAUAAAUAAAAUAAAUGCUGUGUACUCAUUUUUUUAGGCUUUCCACAUUUAAUUGAACAUAAAGGUUCUUUGAUCAGAUUACCUAUGCUAAUUUAUAACUUUAAAUAACUUUUACAUAUAAAAUAAAAAAAAAUGUCAGUUUGCAGUUUAUAAUCAGUCUAAUAUUAUGAUAUGGUUUAAUAUUGCAUGAUUAUUUUAUUUUCAGGUAAACUGGUCUGAUUAAUUAGAUAUAAAUAAAAUAAAUGCAAUGCAGUAAUUUUGCUUUUUAGGCUUGCUACAACAAUUGUGUUGCACUUUGUCAUCAUUUUAUCAGAUUACCUACUUUAUUCAAUAAUUAGUAAUGAUUUUUUUAUAAUUUUAAACUUUUUAUAUACAUAUUAAUUCCAAUUUAUAUAAAAAAACAUCAAGACCUAUGUAUAAUAACUGCAUCAUCACGCUAUCAGACCAUCUAAAAUUAGUAAUUUAUUAACUAGUGCUGAUGUAGCUCAAUGACGUUCUGUAUAUUUUCCAUAAAUGUGAUAGUACAUAUAAAUAUAGAUUCAUUUUUCAUUGAACUCUAGAGUUUUUUAGAUCUAUGAUUACAGUUAUAUAACUAAUUCUUAAACAAUUUGUGUAUGUACCAAUUCAUUUUUCAACUGUUACCUAUUCAACGUGAACGUGCAAUUCAAGAUUUGUUCAGCAAACAAAUAGAUUAAUACCUACUAUUAAAUAGUAAGCAACGUCUACAAACUGAACACACAUUGACAAUUGAAGAUUUGUACAAUAAUCAUAUGAAAAUAUCAGCAAUAACAUCUUAAGCAGAGUAUACAAACUGAACACACAUUGACAAUUGAAGAUUUGUACAGUAAUCAAAAUGAACAACAGUAACAUACAAAAACCGAAUAAUAAAAUAAUAAUUAUUGAUUUUGAAUUCACAAACUAUCAACGUACUGAUUUAAUACUUAUUUCUGCAGCAAUAUCACAGACUCAUACUGAAUCAAAAAUUAAACGUUUGCGAGGUCGACCAUUAAUAAUAUCACCUGAUGGAAGAAUAACAUUAAUGAAUAAUUAUACCUAUUUAAAAACCAGAGAUUUGUUACUAAAAAUUUUUGAAAAGAAACCAGAUCAACUUCAAGUAAUACUAAAUGAAUUAAAUUUAGCUAUGGAAACAAAAACUUCAAACUUAACCAAAAACUAUUUAAAAAACUAUCUUAAUUUUAAUAAUCAAAAUCCAAUUAUUUUACUAUGGAAUGGUAGUUCAGAUAAAAAUAUUUUAUUGAGAUUAGGUUUUAAUACCUAUAUAAUGUUAAAUAUGACUGCAUAUGAUACUGAUAAUAAUAAAAUAUUUUAUUUAAAUUUAAUUAAUUUCCAAAAUAAUGAAAUUAUAUUAAGUUAUAAAUUAGGUUAUAUUAUUAAAAAUGGUAGAUUUCUAUCGUUGAAAGAAACUCAUGAUUUAAUUUGUGAUCUUAACCAUGAUAUUACUUUUAUACAUGACGCAGUUAAUGAUGUAAAAUUAACGAAAUGUAUUUUCAAUUACUUAUGUAUAAAAUAUAAUUAUCAGAAUAUUUUAAGUAAAAUAUGCAUUACACUUUAAAAA
Molecule: long non-coding RNA, 2136 nt
Organism: Acyrthosiphon pisum (pea aphid)
Lineage: Eukaryota; Metazoa; Arthropoda; Insecta; Hemiptera; Aphididae
Exons: 5
Source: RefSeq, a predicted model, not a curated record